RNAcentral lists this ribosomal RNA (407 nucleotides) under uncultured bacterium. RNAcentral's name for it is "bacterial SSU rRNA". It matches the Rfam family "Bacterial small subunit ribosomal RNA", at positions 355 to 776 of the family's 1533-position model. The record is from RNAcentral.
CAGGGAAUCUUGCGCAAUGGGCUAAAAGGCCUGACGCAGCGACACCGCGUGGGGGAAGAAGGCUUUCGGGUCGUAAACCCCUUUUCUCGGGGAAGAGUGAGGACGGUACCCGAGGAAUAAGCCUCGGCUAACUACGUGCCAGCAGCCGCGGUAAUACGUAGGAGGCGAGCGUUGUCCGGAUUUACUGGGCGUAAAGGGCGAGUAGGCGGCUUGGCAAGUCUCAUGUGAAAUCUCCCGGCUUAACUGGGAGGGGUCAUGGGAAACUGCUAGGCUUGAGGGCAGUAGAGGAGAGUGGAAUUCCCGGAGUAGCGGUGAUAUGCGUAGAUACCGGGAGGAACACCCGAGGCGAAGGCGACUCUCUGGGCUGCACCUGACGCUGAGGCGCGAAAGCAUGGGGAGCGAACCGG